CUGAUUCCAGUGAAGUCAAGACCGUAAAAGGAGGAAGCCCCGGAUACUGUGGCUAACGGAGUGUAUUUAACCGAUUGGGAAGGUGAGCCGCCGAAGGUCAGGAAUCCAGUUGAGCUAGAGGAGGAUGGAAGACAAUAGGAGAAGAUCUUAUUGUAUUUUUCUGCAGUUUGUGAGACUAAUGAGAGUUUAUCGCGGCCCAGACCAAGUAGCCCGGCAGACCCACCGAAGAGACCUUGGUUGUUUUGGCCACAACCGAAAUAGAAAUUUUCAAAAACAUCGCUUGAUGUUAAAGUGAGUCUUUCUUUACCGAAGUAUCCAACAGAGAAAGAAGAGUCGCCGUAUUGGAUGCCAUAUAUACAUGCUGAAGAGCAGCUAACCGUAUUACCUGUUGCAGAAGCGAGAGAAUUGCAGAGGGUGGAUCCACAAGAAAUAUUGGAGUAAGAUGUUGAAGAGGAAGGAU
RNAcentral lists this long non-coding RNA (460 nucleotides) under Jatropha curcas. Its description in RNAcentral is "long non-coding RNA (JCUR_LNC001829)". The record is from RNAcentral. Lineage: Eukaryota; Viridiplantae; Streptophyta; Magnoliopsida; Malpighiales; Euphorbiaceae.